ACUUAAGCAUAUCAAUAAGCGGGAGGAAAAGAAACCAACAGGGAUUGCCCUAGUAACGGCGAGUGAAGCGGCAACAGCUCAAAUUUGAAAUCUGGCCUCGGCCCGAGUUGUAAUUUGCAGAGGAUGAUUUUGGCGCGGUGCCUUCCGAGUUCCCUGGAACGGGACGCCACAGAGGGUGAGAGCCCCGUAUGGUCGGACACCAAGCCUUUGUAAAUCUCCUUCGACGAGUCGAGUAGUUUGGGAAUGCUGCUCAAAAUGGGAGGUAAAUCUCUUCUAAAGCUAAAUAUUGGCCAGAGACCGAUAGCGCACAAGUAGAGUGAUCGAAAGAUGAAAAGCACCUUGAAAAGGGGGUUAAACAGUACGUGAAAUUGUUGAAAGGGAAGGGCUCGUGACCAGACUUGUGCCAGGCGGCUCAUCCGGCGUUCUCGCCGGUGCACUCCGCCUGGCUCAGGCCAGCAUCGGUUCUUGCCGGGGGAUAAGAGCUUCGGGAACGUGGCCCCCUUCGGGGGGUGUUAUAGCCCGUUGCACGAUGCCCUGGCGGGGACCGAGGUUCGCGCUCCGCAAGGAUGCUGGCGUAAUGGUCACCAACCACCCGUCUUGAAACACGGACCAAGGAGUCGUCCAUCAGAGCGAGCGUUUGGGUGUAAAACCCGCACGCGUAAUGAAAGUGAACGCAGGUGAGAGCUUCGGCGCAUCAUCGACCGAUCCUGAUGUAUUCGGAUGGAUUUGAGUAAGAGUUUUGCUGGACGGACCCGAAAGACAGUGAACUAUGCUUGUAUAGGGUGAAGCCAGAGGAAACUCUGGUGGAGGCUCGCAGCGGUUCUGACGUGCAAAUCGAUCGUCAAAUAUGAGCAUGGGGGCGAAAGACUAAUCGAACUGUCUAGUAGCUGGUUACCGCCGAAGUUUCCCUCAGGA
This 915-nucleotide ribosomal RNA is filed under the name Paragnomonia fragariae. RNAcentral describes it as "partial 28S ribosomal RNA". It matches the Rfam family "Eukaryotic large subunit ribosomal RNA", at positions 32 to 978 of the family's 3401-position model. The record is from RNAcentral. Lineage: Eukaryota; Fungi; Ascomycota; Sordariomycetes; Diaporthales; Sydowiellaceae.